RNAcentral lists this ribosomal RNA (253 nucleotides) under uncultured bacterium. Its description in RNAcentral is "partial 16S ribosomal RNA". It matches the Rfam family "Bacterial small subunit ribosomal RNA", at positions 524 to 776 of the family's 1533-position model. The record is from RNAcentral.
UACGAGUGGUGCAAACGUUAUUCGGAAUUACUGGGCUUAAAGGGUGCGUAGGCUGCCAUGAAGGUCUGAUGUGAAAUACCACGGCUCAACCGUGGAACGGCGUUGGAAACCACAUGGCUGGAGUGAGACAGAGGUGAGCGGAACUGAUGGUGGAGCGGUGAAAUGCGUUGAUAUCAUCAGGAACACCGGUGGCGAAAGCGGCUCACUGGGUCUUUACUGACGCUGAUGCACGAAAGCCAGGGGAGCAAACGGG